AAUGAAGUGACAAUUUACAGGGUUACCUUGAUACGGUAAAUUAAGUAAUUUUAAUUACCUUCAUUA
This 66-nucleotide transfer RNA is filed under the name Fruhstorferiola tonkinensis. RNAcentral's name for it is "tRNA-Ile". Lineage: Eukaryota; Metazoa; Arthropoda; Insecta; Orthoptera; Acrididae. The record is from RNAcentral.